Molecule: transfer RNA, 76 nt
Filed under: Alphaproteobacteria bacterium
Lineage: Bacteria; Pseudomonadati; Pseudomonadota; Alphaproteobacteria
Also listed under: 2 other names
Description: tRNA-Arg
Rfam family: tRNA
About the family: Transfer RNA (tRNA) molecules are approximately 80 nucleotides in length. Their secondary structure includes four short double-helical elements and three loops (D, anti-codon, and T loops). Further hydrogen bonds mediate the characteristic L-shaped molecular structure. tRNAs have two regions of fundamental functional importance: the anti-codon, which is responsible for specific mRNA codon recognition, and the 3' end, to which the tRNAs corresponding amino acid is attached (by aminoacyl-tRNA synthetases). tRNAs cope with the degeneracy of the genetic code in two manners: having more than one tRNA (with a specific anti-codon) for a particular amino acid; and 'wobble' base-pairing, i.e. permitting non-standard base-pairing at the 3rd anti-codon position.
Source: RNAcentral
GCGCCCGUAGCUCAGUGGAUAGAGCGCUGGCCUCCGAAGCCAGAGGUCGCACGUUCGAAUCGUGCCGGGCGCGCCA